RNAcentral lists this ribosomal RNA (462 nucleotides) under uncultured bacterium. Its description in RNAcentral is "partial 16S ribosomal RNA". It matches the Rfam family "Bacterial small subunit ribosomal RNA", at positions 28 to 507 of the family's 1533-position model. The record is from RNAcentral.
GACGAACGCUGGCGGCGUGCUUAACACAUGCAAGUCGAACGGUGAAGCCCUUCGGGGUGGAUCAGUGGCGAACGGGUGAGCAACACGUGAGCAACCUGCCCCUGGCUCUGGGACAACCACUGGAAACGGUGGCUAAUACCGGAUACGACCCGCCUCGGCAUCGAGUGUGGGUGGAAAGUUUUUCGGCUGGGGAUGGGCUCGCGGCCUAUCAGCUUGUUGGUGAGGUGAAGGCUCACCAAGGCGACGACGGGUAGCCGGCCUGAGAGGGCGACCGGCCACACUGGGACUGAGACACGGCCCAGACUCCUACGGGAGGCAGCAGUGGGGAAUAUUGCACAAUGGGCGAAAGCCUGAUGCAGCGACGCCGCGUGAGGGAUGACGGCCUUCGGGUUGUAAACCUCUUUCAGCUCCGAAGAAGCGAAAGUGACGGUAGGAGCAGAAGAAGCACCGGCUAACUACGUG